CGAAUGCUGACGUGAGUAACGACAAAACGGGUGAAAAACCCGUUCGCCGAAAGACCAAGGGUUCCAGUCCAACGUUAAUCGGGGCUGGGUGAGUCGACCCCUAAGGCGAGGCCGAAAGGCGUAGUCGAUGGGAAAAUGGUUAAUAUUCCAUUACUUCUGUGUAAUGCGAUGAGAGGACGGAGAAGGCUAAAUCAGCCUGGCGUUGGUUGUCCAGGUGAAAGGAUGUAGGCAUGUAUCUUAGGCAAAUCCGGGGUACUCUAUGCUGAGAUCUGAUAGCAAGCUGUACUUGUACAGCGAAGUGGUUGAUGCCAUGCUUCCAGGAAAAGUCUCUAAGCUUCAGUUACACAGGAAUCGUACCCGAAACCGACACAGGUGGUCAGGUCGAGUAGACCAAGGCGCUUGAGAGAACUCUGCUGAAGGAACUAGGCAAAAUGGUACCGUAACUUCGGGAGAAGGUACGCUGUUGUUGGUGAUGGAACUCGCUUCCUGAGCUGACGACAGCCGCAGAAACCAGGCCGCUGCAACUGUUUAUUAAAAACAUAGCACUCUGCAAACACGAAAGUGGACGUAUAGGGUGUGAUGCCUGCCCGGUGCUGGAAGGUUAAUUGAUGGGGUUAGCGUAAGCGAAGCUCUUGAUCGAAGCCCCAGUAAACGGCGGCCGUAACUAUAACGGUCCUAAGGUAGCGAAAUUCCUUGUCGGGUAAGUUCCGACCUGCACGAAUGGCAUAAUGAUGGCGGCGCUGUCUCCAGCAGAGGCUCAGUGAAAUCGAAAUCGCUGUGAAGAUGCAGUGUACCCGCGGCUAGACGGAAAGACCCCGUGAACCUUUACUGCAGCUUGACACUGAACUUUGACCUUACUUGUGUAGGAUAGGUGGGAGGCUUUGAAGCUGGAACGCUAGUUCCAGUGGAGCCGUCCUUGAAAUACCACCCUGGUAAUGUUGAGGUUCUAACUCUGUCCCGUGAUCCGGGACGAGGACCGUGUCUGGUGGGUAGUUUGACUGGGGCGGUCUCCUCCUAAAGAGUAACGGAGGAGUACGAAGGUGCGCUCAGCGUGGUCGGAAAUCACGCGUAGA
This 1073-nucleotide ribosomal RNA is filed under the name Acinetobacter baumannii. Its description in RNAcentral is "partial 23S ribosomal RNA". It matches the Rfam family "Bacterial large subunit ribosomal RNA", at positions 1291 to 2348 of the family's 2925-position model. Lineage: Bacteria; Pseudomonadati; Pseudomonadota; Gammaproteobacteria; Moraxellales; Moraxellaceae. The record is from RNAcentral.